AACGCACCUUGCGCCUUUUGGUAUUCCGAAAGGCAUGCCUGUUUGAGUGUCAUGAAACAUCAAUCCUCUCGGGUUUCGUUAUCCGGGAGAGCUUGGAUUUGGGCUCUGCCGCACCGGCUCGCCUUAAAGACGUUAGUGGGAGGUCUCCCUACGGUUUGACGUGAUAAGAUUUCGUCUCGCCUCGGGAAACCGUCCGCUCACAACACCCCAUAUCUUUACUUCUGACCUCAAAUCAGGUAGGGCUACCCGCUGAACUUAA
This 259-nucleotide unclassified non-coding RNA is filed under the name uncultured fungus. RNAcentral's name for it is "partial contains 5.8S ribosomal RNA, internal transcribed spacer 2, and large subunit ribosomal RNA". The stretch from base 1 to 52 matches the Rfam family "5.8S ribosomal RNA", at positions 103 to 154 of the family's 154-position model. The record is from RNAcentral. Lineage: Eukaryota; Fungi.